Molecule: ribosomal RNA, 380 nt
Filed under: Abiotrophia defectiva
Lineage: Bacteria; Bacillati; Bacillota; Bacilli; Lactobacillales; Aerococcaceae
Description: bacterial SSU rRNA
Rfam family: Bacterial small subunit ribosomal RNA
Source: RNAcentral
GACGAACGCAGGCGGCGUGCCUAAUAUAUGCAAGUCGAACGAACCGCGACUAAGUGCUUGCACUAAGUCAAGGUGAGUGGCGAACGGGUGAGUAACACGUGGGUAACCUACCUCAUAGUGGGGGAUAACAGUCGGAAACGACUGCUAAUACCGCAUAGGACAUAGGAUCACAUGAUCCAGUGAGGAAAGGUGGCGCAAGCUAUCGCUAAGAGAUGGACCCGCGGUGCAUUAGCUAGUUGGUAGGGUAAAGGCCUACCAAGGCGAUGAUGCAUAGCCGACCUGAGGGGGUGAUCGGCCACAUUGGGAUGAGACACGGCCCAAACUCCUACGGGAGGCAGCAGUAGGGAAUCUUCCGCAAUGGACGCAAGUCUGACGGAGCA